GCUUCGGUGGCCGGUUCCGGCACGGGGUGUCCGCUUGCGGCGAGCUCGGCCCGGCCGGCGUCGAGGAGGGCGUUCGACGCGACCUCGAUCCGC
RNAcentral lists this transfer RNA (93 nucleotides) under Methylobacterium gregans. RNAcentral describes it as "tRNA-Ala". Lineage: Bacteria; Pseudomonadati; Pseudomonadota; Alphaproteobacteria; Hyphomicrobiales; Methylobacteriaceae. The record is from RNAcentral.